RNAcentral lists this long non-coding RNA (5215 nucleotides) under Manihot esculenta (cassava). RNAcentral's name for it is "long non-coding RNA (MESC_LNC009815)". The record is from RNAcentral. Lineage: Eukaryota; Viridiplantae; Streptophyta; Magnoliopsida; Malpighiales; Euphorbiaceae.
UGAGUUCUACCCUUGUUUUGAAGUUUUGAAGCUUUAAUAGGAGUUUUGGGAGCUUGGAGGCUUUUGGAGCUUGGAUCCUCCACACCUCCGAGUUAGGGAUCGCACCACCCCUCGAUCUUCAAGAGGUAAGUGUAGAUCCUUGCUUUCCUCAUGUUUUAAUGGAGUUUUAAGUAAGUUUAAAGAUGUUUUGAUGGUUGAGUAUGGGUAGAUAUGCAUGUUUAGGUUUAUGUGGGUUUUAUGCCCAAUGUAUGCUUAUGUGAUGUUCUUUGUUGGAGUUUAAGCUCGUUUAAGCUCCUUUGUGCAUGGUUAAGGUUUAUGCAUGUGUUUUAAGAAGUUGGUUGCUUGUUGGGGUGUCUGGAAGGCUUGGGAGGCUGGUAUGCAUAAGAGGCUGAGUUCUGGAUGAACUCAGGUUCGGCCGCCGAAGGUAGUUUCGGCCUCCGAACCUGCCUAUGGAUGCAUGGAUUGGCCGCCUAACCUUGCCCCUGAAAGUUGUGUUUCGGAUCUGGAGCAGACUUUCGGCCGCCGAAGGUAAUGUUUGGCCGCCGAAAGUGCCUGACUUUCGGAUCUGGAGAGAGGGUUCGGCCGCCGAAAGUGCCCCCGAACCUGCAUGUCUUUCGGCUCUGGAAGGGACCUUCGGCCGCCGAAAGUGCCCUGUCCAGCCCUUCCAUGGUUGUUUUCUAUGCAUGCUUUGGUAAUAUUUUAGGAGUUUUUGGGGAGUUGUUUAUGAGUUGUUUAGAGUGUGUUUGGCACCUCAUUCGAGUCCACCUGAGUAAGAUCGGACCCGAGGGACCGAGGAGGCCAUCAGUGUUAGCUGUUGCAGAGUCAGUCCAGCGUCUGCCAGAGGUGAGUAGAACUAGAUUUAAUAUUUUAUUUAACGAAAUCAAAUGACUAAAGCAUGUUCAUGCAUCAUGUUUAUAUGUAGUAGGUUGAUUGCACUAGUUACACGAAUAUGACGCAUUGCAUUAUUUUCUGUUGAUGUGGAUGGACCAAGGCGACCCCAAUAGCCCUAUAUAUGUUAUGUUAAUGAAGUCCUGAGGAGCCCCACCGAGGGCCGGGCAUAAUGAAGUCCUGAGGAGCCCGAAGGGCCGGGCAUAAUGAAGUCUUGAGGAGCCCGAAGGGCCGGGCACCAUGAUAUGUUACAGACAGAGGGAGUUUUAGUGGUCAUGUCCAUCCGUUAUGUGAAAUGUUUGUGCUGUGACGCAUUUCAUAAAAGCAUGUAAUUAAUGAACUGUUUUAUUGUUUCUACUCACUGGGCUUUUUAGCUCACCCCUUUCCCCUAACCCCAGGUUUCCAGGUCUGAGGAAGAUCGGGAAGUCGCAAGAGUUAAGGUUAUUGUUGUUGUAAUAGACUAGUGUUUUAGUGUGGACAUGUAUGGUAAAAAUGACAUAACGUAUUGUAAGAUAAUGUGAUGUAAUGUAAUAUGAAAUAGAGUUAUGUUUAUGGAUAGAGUUGUGUUUUGCCCUGGUGUAUGAUUAAUCCCUUUGUACAUGGAUCUUGUUUUACGUUUCUUGAUGAGAAAUGUGUUGAAAUCAGGCUUAACAUAUGGUAUGUUUCCUUGAGUUCCAGUGUUUGUGUUAUGGGGAAAGAAAGGGUUUGAAUCCCUCGACCCAGAAACAUAACCGUGAGGGGAAGGACGCUGGGCGUGAACCCAAAGUGGGUAGUAUUCAUUGGUGUAGGCCCUGAGGGCGGGUUCAGAUUGGUAUAUCUGAAUGUUUGUAGUGUAUGCUUAGGUUAAGCCUGAUAGUUGGAAGAAAAGUUUUUCAGGUAUUUUUAUGUUUGUUUGAUCAUGUAUGGGAUUUAUCAGGUACACAGAGUUCAGGUUAGACUUGCUACGGGUCCCGGCGUCCUUAAGCCAAUCUGGAUCCUAGCGCCGGUGGCGGUUCGGUCCGUUACAGAGGGGUAUCGGUUUCCGGGUCGUUACAGAGUGGUAUCAGAGCUUUGGGCCUCAAGAGUACGGUGUGUUACACAUCGGAAAGAGGUUAUAGGAGGGCAAGCACAGUAGGAAAAAAAUCAUGUCCACUAGGAUAGGAUGUAGAGUCCUGUCUUGUAUGAUGAUGUGGAAUGCCAUGAUUAUAUGCAUGUGCAUUAAUGUUAUGCUAUGUAUGCUAUGUAUGUGUUGUAGGUUCAUGUGUUUUCACCUGAACCGUAUGAUGCUAAUGUUUGAAUGCUUGUGUGUUGUUCUUUAGAGGAGCCAGAAUGCGAGGUGCUCGUCGAUCUGUGGAAUCGACUAGAGUUCCAUCUGAGAGGGAAGGUAUGGAUACCUUUUCCCCUGCUCUGCCAAGAGCGCAGUCGUGGGGAGUCAGCAGAUGGGGAACAUCGAGGGACCCUGGAAGGUCUUUUGAUGUGAGCAGAGAAGGAAUGGCUCCAAGAAGGAUGUCAGCUAGUAUGAGGGAAGUGGAGAUGGAUGUUCAGAGAAGAGAUGUCAGUUUGGGAAUCAGAGUGCCAGAGGAAGGCAAGGGAGAUUCUCAGGAGGAUGCUCAGACUCAGGAUUCCAGAAUCUCAGGUUCAGGGGGGAUUGAUCCCUCCACUCUGAGUACAGCCGCCACAAGAGGAGUAAAGUGGGGCAGAACCCUGAGGGGGAAGAGGAAGAAGUUUUGGAAGAAUUUGAAGUCUAGUCUGAGAUUAGGUAGUGGUUCGAGUUCUGGCGCCGAUACUUCUGGAUGCAUGAGGUGUGGAAGGCCGCACAAGGGAGUCUGUCUGAUUGGGACUAAUCUAUGUUUUAGAUGUGGUCAGGAAGGGCACAUGGUACGUGAGUGUCCCAUUGCGCCCUGGUUGGCACAGUCUCAGCGGGCAACUUCAGGUAGAGCGGCUCAGCCAGUAGCUCCAGCCAUGUUGCAGGUCAGUGGUCGAGGUAGAGGAAGAGGGUUGGCCUCUUCUUCAGUAGGUUCCCGUGGAGAAGGUCUGUUAGCUCCAGCUCGGAUCUUCACCCAAGCUUAGCAGGAGGCAGACGCAUCGAACACAGUGGUGCCAGGUAUGCUCACUUUUGAAUGUUCUGAUGUGUAUGCUUUUGUGAACCCUGGUAUUUCUCUUUCUUUAGUUGCUCUAGGAGCCGUCGAGAGGUUGAGUUGAUAACUUUUGGGCUAGAGUGUCCCCUUUGGAUCAGUGGACCCAAGUGUGAUCCAGCUGUGGCAGAGUCAGUCUGCCGGUCUAGUUCUGUGUCAGUUGAGGGUAGAUGCCUUCCACCCGACUUUGAGGUCCUAGACUUGACUGUCUGGACGUCAAUCGAGGGAUGGAUUGGUUUUUUACUCGUGAUGCUAUCUUGGUCUGCAGAGACAGGGUAGUCAGAUUCUGAGGAUAGGAUGGGUCAGAGGUAGUCUGUUGAGGGGACAGUAUAGGGAUGCCUAGAGGUUUGAUAUCAGCCUGUCAGGUUCGUAGGGUGCGUAGGAAGGGUUGUCAGAGGGUUCGAGUUCUUGUUGGGAGUUUAGUAGUUAGGUCGGGGAACCAGCCUCAAUGCCAGUUGUUAGAGAGAAAGUCUUAGAUGUUUUCCUAGGCGAGUUGUCAGGAUUACCACUUGCUAGGGAGAUAGAGUUUGGAAUGGAAGUGGUACUCGGUACCAGAACCAUUUCUAUCUUUCCCUACAGGAUGGCACCUGUAGAGUUUUAAGAGUUGUUAGAGCAGUUGCAAGGGCUUGGUAGACAAGGGUUUUAUCCGACCUAGUACCUCACCUUAGAGUGUUCCAGUGUUGUAAUGGGAAAAGCAGGAUGAAUCCUCGAGACCCUGUGUCGACUUUAGGCAGUCGGACAAGGUCGCUACCAAGAGCAGGUAUUCCUUACCUGUUGAGAGUUAGAGAAGAAGUCAGUUUAGUAGAGAAGAGGAGAGAAGAGAAAGGAUCAGAGUAGCGCAGUGGAAGCGUGUCGAGUUUCAGGAGAAGGUUGGGGUAUUGCUAAGGUGUCUCCUAUGAAGAGGGUGCAUUGUUAAGGGAAGAAGGGUGAACUAGCUCCAAGAUACAUCAGACCCUUUGGAGUCCUGCAAAGGAUUAGGGGAUGUAUCCGACAAGUUAGAUUUACCUACUUCCAUGGAAAAAAAAAUCCAUUCGGAUUUCUAUGUUCCUGUGCUAUGGAAGUUCGUGUCAGAUCCAAGUGAGGUUCUUAAAGAACCAGAGGUGGAGAUCUCGGGGGGUCUCACCUAUGUUGAGUAGCUAGUGCGGAUCAUAGACACACAAGUCAAGAAGAGAAGGAACAAGGAAACCCCGAUGGUGAAAGUCCUUUGGAAUCGCCAGUGUGGGCGAGUUCGCUUGGGAGACCCGGGAGUUCGUACUCCAGCAGUACCUGUGUCUCUUUUUAGGAGAGAGGUUUUUAGGUUUUGCUUGCUUGUUUGCUUGCUAGUUAUGUAUGCUUGAUGCUAUGUUUUUGAGAAUGCCUGUUUGUUUGUGGAACAUUCAGGGACGAAUGUUCUUAAAGAGGGGAAGAAUGUAAUACCCGGUUAGAUUCCAGCAUCGGAAUCCCUACCUUCCGGCGGAAUCUCCGUUGGAAUCGGGAAUUCUGAAGAUGCCAGAGGCUUCUAGAGGGGUAAGAUGUGUUUCUAAAAUGUUUUCACAUGAUUUUAUGGUUUUAAAUGGAAAACAAAUUGAAUUUUGAAAAGAAAAGACCAAGGAGGCAUUUGCCAGGUUCGGCCGCCGAAAGUGAAGUUCGGCCGCCGAAUAUGGGAAAGUUUCGGGAGCGCUUUUGGCCUUCGAAAGCUUUGUUUGAACGAACCAAGGUUCGGCCGCCGAACCUUAAGUUCGGCCGCCGAACAUGCAUGAGUUUAGAGGGCACAUUAGGCUGCCGAAGGUCGUUGACCAGGCCACCUAUAAAGAGCCCUCAGAUCGGAAAUGGGCGAGUUUUCUCCCCAUUCUCGAGCUCAGGUGAGUUUUUGUCCUCCUUUGGUCGUUUUCAUGUUUUCUCUACCCAUUCCUCAAAUUUUCAUGAGUUCUACCCUUGUUUUGAAGUUUUGAAGCUUUAAUAGGAGUUUUGGGAGCUUGGAGGCUUUUGGAGCUUGGAUCCUCCACACCUCCGAGUUAGGGAUCGCACCACCCCUCGAUCUUCAAGAGGUAAGUGUAGAUCCUUGCUUUCCUCAUGUUUUAAUGGAGUUUUAAGUAAGUUUAAAGAUGUUUUGAUGGUUGAGUAUGGGUAGAUAUGCAUGUUUAGGUUUAUGUGGGUUUUAUGCCCAAUGUAUGUUUAUGUGAUGUUCUUUGUUGGAGUUUAAGCUUGUUUAAGCUCCUUUGUGCAUGGUUAAG